RNAcentral lists this ribosomal RNA (587 nucleotides) under Pestalotiopsis biciliata. Its description in RNAcentral is "eukaryotic LSU rRNA". It matches the Rfam family "Eukaryotic large subunit ribosomal RNA", at positions 32 to 638 of the family's 3401-position model. The record is from RNAcentral. Lineage: Eukaryota; Fungi; Ascomycota; Sordariomycetes; Amphisphaeriales; Sporocadaceae.
AGUCACGACGCAUAUCAAUAAGCGGAGGAAAAGAAACCAACAGGGAUUGCCUUAGUAACGGCGAGUGAAGCGGCAACAGCUCAAAUUUGAAAUCUGGCCCUCGGGUCCGAAUUGUAAUUUGUAGAGGAUGAUUUUGGUGCGGUAUCUUCCGAGUUCCUUGGAACAGGACGCCUUAGAGGGUGAGAGCCCCGUACGGUUGAAUGCCUAGCCUCUGUAAAUCUCCUUCGACGAGUCGAGUAGUUUGGGAAUGCUGCUCUAAAUGGGAGGUAAAUUUCUUCUAAAGCUAAAUAUUGGCCAGAGACCGAUAGCGCACAAGUAGAGUGAUCGAAAGAUGAAAAGCACUUUGAAAAGAGGGUUAAAUAGCACGUGAAAUUGUUGAAAGGGAAGGAUUUGUGACCAGACUUUUUCUGGGCGGAUCAUCCGGGGUUCUCUCCGGUGCACUUUGCCCAGUAAAGGCCAGCAUCGAUUUUCGGCGGCGGAUAAAAGCAGUGGGAAUGUGGCUCCCUACGGGGAGUGUUAUAGCCCAUUGUAUAAUACGCUGCUGGGGAUCGAGGUACGCGCUUCUGCAAGGAUGCUGGCGUAAUGGU